Acanthaster planci (crown-of-thorns starfish) is the source of this 474-nucleotide long non-coding RNA. The record is from RefSeq and is a predicted model, not a curated record. Lineage: Eukaryota; Metazoa; Echinodermata; Asteroidea; Valvatida; Acanthasteridae.
GAUCUCGCCCCGCGGAUCUCGCCCCGCGGAUCUCGCCCCGCGGAUCUCGCCCCGCGGAUCUCGCUGAGAAAUUUUACCACUGGCAGUUGUGUACACAAAUAACGUACCGACCUCAAAGAGUAUAAGUAUUAGUGUAACUUAAUUCGUGUUCUCAUUUAUUGUAACACUGGCGGCCUACGCACAGUUGAUAAGGCUUCGUCGUUUGCAAAAGAGGAGUCUAAGUUGCAUAUGCGACCAGCAGGGGUCAUCGGAAGUAACAUGGAAGACCUUUUGCAGGAACUUGGAUUGGAGGAAGUUGUUGAUGCAAUGUGGCAAACAUUGAACACUGGUACUAUUGUUAUCGUCUGGCCUUUCCUUGCUACAUGAAACGUAAAAUACAAGGUGGCAAUGACUUUCCAAGGAAACGAUAAUGCGUGUCAAGGACUUUCCUGAAUGACCUUACACGUGAGAGUUUGACGGUACAGAGUGGAUGAA